This 447-nucleotide ribosomal RNA is filed under the name uncultured bacterium. Its description in RNAcentral is "bacterial SSU rRNA". It matches the Rfam family "Bacterial small subunit ribosomal RNA", at positions 355 to 825 of the family's 1533-position model. The record is from RNAcentral.
UCGGGAAUUUUGGGCAAUGGGCGAAAGCCUGACCCAGCAACGCCGCGUGAAGGAUGAAGUAUUUCGGUAUGUAAACUUCGUAAGAAUAGGAAGAAUAAAUGACGGUACUAUUUGUAAGGUCCGGCUAACUACGCGCCAGCAGCCGCGGUAAUACGUAGGGACCAAGCGUUGUUCGGAUUUACUGGGCGUAAAGGGCGCGUAGGCGGUGUGUCAAGUCAGUUGUGAAAUCUCCGAGCUUAACUCGGAACGGUCAACUGAUACUGUCACACUAGAGUACAGAAGGGGCAAUCGGAAUUCUUGGUGUAGCGGUGAAAUGCGUAGAUAUCAAGAGGAACACCUGAGGCGAAGGCGGGUUGCUGGGCUGAUACUGACGCUGAGGCGCGAAAGCUAGGGUAGCAAACGGGAUUAGAUACCCCCGUAGUCCCUGAGCGGGCUGGCAAGGCGCAU